GGCCCCGCACAAGCGGUGGAGCAUGUGGUUUAAUUCGAUGAUACGCGAGGAACCUUACCAGGGCUUAAAUGCAGAACGACCGGGGUGGAAACACCCCUUUCUUCGGACGGUCUGCAAGGUGCUGCAUGGUUGUCGUCAGCUCGUGCUGUGAAGUGUCGGGUUAAGUCCCAUAACGAGCGCAACCCCUAUUUCUAGUUGCCAGCGGUUCGGCCGGGGACUCUAGAGAAACUGCCAGCGUAAGCUGUGAGGAAGGUGGGGAUGACGUCAAAUCAUCACGGCCCUUACGUCCUGGGCUACACACGUGCUACAAUGGUGAGGACAGAGAGUUGCCAACCCGCGAGGGUGAGCU
RNAcentral lists this ribosomal RNA (349 nucleotides) under uncultured bacterium. RNAcentral describes it as "bacterial SSU rRNA". It matches the Rfam family "Bacterial small subunit ribosomal RNA", at positions 917 to 1269 of the family's 1533-position model. The record is from RNAcentral.